GCGGAGGAAAAGAAACCAACAGGGAUUGCCCUAGUAACGGCGAGUGAAGCGGCAACAGCUCAAAUUUGAAAUCUGGCUCUUUCAGGGCCCGAGUUGUAAUUUGCAGAGGGCGCUUUGGCGUUAGCAGCGGUCCAAGUUCCUUGGAACAGGACGUCACAGAGGGUGAGAAUCCCGUACGUGGUCGCUAGUUUUCGCCGUGUAAAGCCCCUUCGACGAGUCGAGUUGUUUGGGAAUGCAGCUCUAAAUGGGAGGUAAAUUUCUUCUAAAGCUAAAUACUGGCCAGAGACCGAUAGCGCACAAGUAGAGUGAUCGAAAGAUGAAAAGCACUUUGGAAAGAGAGUCAAACAGCACGUGAAAUUGUUGAAAGGGAAGCGCUUGCAGCCAGACUUGCCUGUAGUUGCUCAUCCGGGCUUUUGCCCGGUGCACUCUUCUGCGGGCAGGCCAGCAUCAGUUUGGGCGGUUGGAUAAAGGUCUCUGUCAUGUACCUCCUUUCGGGGAGGCCUUAUAGGGGAGACGACAUGCAACCAGCCUGGACUGAGGUCCGCGCAUCUGCUAGGAUGCUGGCGUAAUGGCUGUAAGCGGCCCGUCUUGAAACACGGACCAAGGAGUCUAACAUCUAUGCGAGUGUUUGGGUGUCAAGCCCAAGCGCGUAAUGAAAGUGAACGGAGGUGGGAUCCCUUUAGGGUGCACCAUCGACCGAUCCUGAUGUCUUCGGAUGGAUUUGAGUAAGAGCAUGGCUGUUGGGACCCGAAAGAUGGUGAACUAUGCUUGAAUAGGGUGAAGCCAGAGGAAACUCUGGUGGAGGCUCGCAGCGGUUCUGACGUGCAAAUCGAUCGUCAAAUUUG
This 845-nucleotide non-coding RNA is filed under the name Pseudopyrenochaeta lycopersici. RNAcentral's name for it is "eukaryotic LSU rRNA". It matches the Rfam family "Eukaryotic large subunit ribosomal RNA", at positions 50 to 913 of the family's 3401-position model. Lineage: Eukaryota; Fungi; Ascomycota; Dothideomycetes; Pleosporales; Pseudopyrenochaetaceae. RNAcentral also lists the same sequence under 1 other name. The record is from RNAcentral.